Molecule: long non-coding RNA, 1029 nt
Organism: Oncorhynchus tshawytscha (Chinook salmon)
Lineage: Eukaryota; Metazoa; Chordata; Actinopteri; Salmoniformes; Salmonidae
Source: Ensembl
GGAGAAGACAGAGGUGUGAGGUGAGAGAGAAGAGAGGUGAGAGAGGAGAGGAGAGGUGAGAGAGGAGAGAAGAGAGGUGAGAGAGGAGAAGACAGAGGUGUGAGGUGAGGAGAGAAGAGAGGUGAGAGAGGAGAGGACAGAGGUGUGAAGUGAGGAGAGAAGAGAGAGAGAAGUGUAAGGAGAGGAGAGGACAGAGAGGUGUGAGGAGAGGAGAGAGGAGAGGACAGAGGUGUGAGGUGAGGAGAGAAGAGAGAGGUGUAAGGAGAGGAGAGAAGAGAGAGGUGUGAGGAGAGGAGAGAAGAGAGAGGUAGGAGAGGAGAGAAAAGAGAGAAGAGAGGAGAGGAGAGGACAGAGGUGUGAGGUGAGGAGAGAAGAGAGAGAGAAGUGUAAGGAGAGGAGAGGACAGAGAGGUGUAAGGAGAGGAGAGGAAAGAGAGGUGUGAGGAGAGGAGAGAGGAGGACAGAGGUGUGAGGUGAGGUGAGAGAGGAGAGAAGAGAGGAGAGAGGAGAGGACAGAGGUGUGAGGUGAGGAGAGAAGAGAGAGGUGUAAGGAGAGGAGAGGUGUGAGGUGAGGAGAGAGAGGAGAGAGAGGUGUAAGGAGAGGACAGAGGUGUGAGGUGAGGAGAGAAGAGAGAGGUGUAAGGAGAGGAGAGAAAAGAGAGGUGUGAGGAGAGGAGAGAGGAGAGGACAGAGGUGUGAGGUGAGGUGAGAGAGGAGAGAAGAGAGGAGAGAGGAGAGGACAGAGGUGUGAGGUGAGGAGAGAAGAGAGAAGUGUAAGGAGAGGAGAGAAGAGAGAGGUGUAAGGAGAGGAGAGAAAAGAGAGGUGUGAGGAGAGGGAGAGAGAGAGGACAGAGGUGUGAGGUGAGGUGAGAGAGGAGAGAAGAGAGGAGAGAGGAGAGGACAGAGGUGUGAGGUGAGGUGAGAGAGGAGAGAAGAGAGGAGAGAGGAGAGGACAGAGGUGUGAGGUGAGGAGAGAAGAGAGAAGUGUAAGGAGAGGAGAGGUGUGAGGUGUAAGGAGAGGAGAGAAAAG